UGGGGAAUAUUGCACAAUGGGCGCAAGCCUGAUGCAGCCAUGCCGCGUGUGUGAAGAAGGCCUUCGGGUUGUAAAGCACUUUCAGCGAGGAGGAAGGUGGUGAACUUAAUACGUUCAUCAAUUGACGUUACUCGCAGAAGAAGCACCGGCUAACUCCGUGCCAGCAGCCGCGGUAAUACGGAGGGUGCAAGCGUUAAUCGGAAUUACUGGGCGUAAAGCGCACGCAGGCGGUUUGUUAAGUCAGAUGUGAAAUCCCCCGGGCUCAACCUGGGAACUGCAUUUGAAACUGGCAAGCUAGAGUCUCGUAGAGGGGGGUAGAAUUCCAGGUGUAGCGGUGAAAUGCGUAGAGAUCUGGAGGAAUACCGGUGGCGAAGGCGGCCCCCUGGACGAAGACUGACGCUCAGGUGCGAAAAGCGUGGGGAGCAAAACAGGAUUA
RNAcentral lists this ribosomal RNA (436 nucleotides) under uncultured bacterium. Its description in RNAcentral is "partial 16S ribosomal RNA". It matches the Rfam family "Bacterial small subunit ribosomal RNA", at positions 355 to 780 of the family's 1533-position model. The record is from RNAcentral.